AAGUAUCCGAGAAUUAAUUAACAUCAUAUAUAACGUUUAAAUCAUUUUUAAUAGUGUUACCUUGAACAUUUCAUAACGUAUUCACAACAAAAAAUAAAUACCACUAGAUACUACUCUUACAAAACCGACGCAAAGGCUUGGAAAACAACGGGGCUCAAUAGGGCCAGAUUCACAUAUCCUCACCGUUUUGUUCCUACUAUCAACAUAUAAGAUAAAAGCUUUAAACCCGUAACAAAAUUAGUUCGGUUUUUACUAACAUUCACUAGUCGCUAGGAUGUAAUUCGUUCGAAUCAACUGUUAUACUUCUACAUGUCAUCAAAUGGUUCGUGCUUACAAUUUAUUUUGAUCAUCGGCUGAUAAAUAGAGUGACAAAUAUGUGUGUUUUUGUGGAUUCUACGUUCAAAAUAUAGAAAAUAUUGCACUACAUUAACAGAUAUACCUUUAGGUUCUAUACAAUUCAUAUAAAUAAUGGUAACCUAUCUAUCUACAAAAUGUGCUCCGUGGUUCCGUUGCAACUUGUGUUCGCGGUUUUCGCCGGAAGGGAAGCUCAGUAAUGCGCAUUUGUUCGCUAAAGUUUCCCCCCAGUAGAGUUCAUCUACUACAUAGUUCGAUGUGAAUGUUUACUUCCCCUAUUUUCUUCCCAAACCAAAAGAAACCUUGUCCCGUUGCGGGAAGCGGAAAAUCUUACAUUUUAUUUCACUUCCACUGUUAAUUCACCAUUUCAUUUGAUUCCAUUUUUCGUCUGCCUAAUUCAGCCUAAAAUCACUUUAUCGUCACUUUAAAAGACUUGCGUAGCGGGAGCUGCACGGAUGGCCCCAUCCUGGCCGAGUGGUUAUGCCGAAAGGUAUAAAAAGGUAUACAGUCGAUUUAUUUUCUAUACACGGUUACCUGCAAAAAAGGUGGUCGUCGGUCGGUGAUGUUGGGGGUGAACGCGAUGCCGUGAAAUGGCGGGUAAUGACAGGACCAGAACGGUAUAUUUACAAAGUAAUGAUGAAGACUUUUUAGGAGACUACCUGAUGGACGCGCUUUUGUGCUCUUUGUACAUUCGGACGACACUGGCUGAAUGAAUGAGGAAGUUGAAUGCAUAAAUAAAUCCUGCUUUUUUGUGAGGAAAAAAUGACUGCGUUCCGGGCGGGAGCUAUAACUUUGAUUACUUCUACUUUGCUACAAAAAUGGGGCUGGACUGAGUCACGAAAGCAGACCAUUACUUUCAGUUAUGAUGAUAUCAUUAUUAUGGCUGAGAUCUUCGGUGAAUUUACAACACGCUGUGAUAAAUUUUGCAGUAUCAAGGAGAUGGUUUCAAUAUAAAAACAAACAUAAAAUACGAUUUUUUCUGUUGCUCAUUGUUUCUGAUUGAAAGCAAUUGCAAUUAACUUUCAAUUUUUUUUUUUUUCUAACGAGAUUUUUAGGCCGAUGCCAAGUCUAACUCUUCCUUUUUGUUUAUCAGAUUCAAUUAAAACCUAAACGGUUAUACAUUACGAGUUUACACAGCGUAUGUACUGAUGUAUUCUUGCCUUUGCUGAUCUUCAAUCGAUGCUAACUUGGAUUUAUCGCUGUUGUACUUUUUUGAACAGAAACCGCGUCUAUUGUUCGGUUUAUUUGCAACAAACUAUCCCAUACGGACGCGUUCAAUCAAGUCAUCAUUCAUCAAGAUGCUCCAGUUUUAUAGAACGCUUUAAAAGCACACAUCCAACUUUUAGGAUAUCUGCUUGAGCAUAUUGCCGAAUGGGGAUAAAGACCACCAAACCAAUGGGAAAUCACCGCAGAAGAAAAACGGAACUCGAAGGCGUAUUCUACGACAUGUUGAUUCUCGAACUGAUGCAGAAUGAUUUUGAAAAUAUCUGUCUAUGUCUGAACUCUACUUAAACCUCUUCAACUUAGCGAACUGAGCGGAUCUAUCAAAGAGUCCGCAAUCAUCUCCUCCGAUGCACAAUACUACGUACAGCUUUAUGAUGCCUGCUGCACAAAGUUCUCUGGCUUAGUGAAACCGUGAAACUAUGUAGCGAUAUGGUUAGAUCGCCGUUUGAUCCAGCAGAACUAACUACAGACAACUUUCAUUUUCUUCGUGGAUCGUGCUUCGCGCUUAGCUCCUCCAGUACAUCUCGCAACCACAAACGUCGUGUACAGCUUUAGAUGAGGCCACGUAUUCCACCUUCAUGAAGUUACGCAGCAUUGUUUUCGGCUAGUCCAGCAUUAGCUGAUUCUUCCUACGCGGAAUAGGUUCCCAACUAACAAUUGCAAGUCACAAACAAGCAAGCUUGCUGAAUUGUUGCUUGUAACGAUGGUUUUGUUCCUUUUUUAAAAGAAAUUGUCUUUUAUAUUUUUUAAUGCCCUUAAAAUAUGUUACAACAAAGAUAACACUUUUCUUAGCGUAUUUACGCAUAUGUCUGCAAGUUUUUAAAAGCUUUUAUUUAGCUAUGCGCCACCUAUGAACAAUCCGAGGUACCUGUGAUUCAAAAAGGCAUGAAGAAAAUUAUAACAUUUAAAACUUGUGCAGGUCUACAUUUAGGCGCAUCAGCUUGCUGCUCGAAUUCCUAUGAAAAUGGAAAAUUCCGUCCAGAAAUUGCGCAGUAGAGAAAAAUUUGAACUGAUUAAAGAGCUAAAUUCUCAAUAAUCCAUUUUCCAAUCCGCGUAUACUUUGUUAGCUCUCAGUACAUGAUCGUAUGGGAAAUUGCGUCGUAAGUUGAAAUAACUAAUCAACCCAAACGCGAUCGACCAUCAUUUCUGGUGGAGUUCUCAAACAGUCAAGAUCAAAAUCAAAAAGUGGUGAAUUUAUCAUAAUCGAUAUUUGCUAUCGAUAAAUAAUUCUAGCAGUUUAAAACUAAACUCGAAUUCUUUUUUUGAGUUAUAUUAGCUUUUUCUAGUGAGAAGGAUCUUAGUCUCAGUGCCUGUCUGUGAGACUAGAAUAAGGCCAAGCCCAACCAACGAGGGCGGUUAGUGUGGGCCGCGUCGGACUAGUGUUGGCCAGUUCAUGUCCGCAUUGGCCAUCGUGGGUCAUUUUGGAUCCGUUUCGCCCGGUUAAGAGUCGGUCUGAAGUUCGUCUGUGAAGACCGAGGACGUUGGGAGACCAAACCCAUCGUUCGACCACGUGGGCAACCGUGAAACUGGACUCAGGCCUCCAGAGCGCCCUUCGAGCCACCGCCAAACUACGUUUGGACAUUUUUUCCGAACUGCUCGAUCAGAAGUCGAAUCCCACAAGCAAGGUGCUUGAGUGUCUAUUUCUGGUAAGUCGCCGAAUCGGAAUCCCGUCUAGCCAAACCUGUGCGAUCAGAGCCUCGUCAACUGGCUCGGUACUCCACCGUUUCCGGGGACAUCUCUACCCCGACGAUUUCGCACAUCCGGGACUGAUUCGACCUUCGGAAUCCGCCUCGCACCUCAGAAUCGGUACUCGACGUGGGAUUAGCUGUGGUGAGUAGACUGCCAGCUCGUAGCUACGUUGGACUUCGUGGGACCUAGGCCCGCCGAACAAGGUCAGACUUUUUUUUUUAUUGUGCACGAAGAAUAAUUUUUCCCUAGGGGAAGCUUACCUAAAAUAGAAUAUCCAAUUAGAUCCUUUGGUGACGUCACAAAUAGAAAUGCGCAAUACUGAAUAAAGUCAAACAGUUUUGAUCAUUAGUUGAACCUUGUAAAACUCAAAACAAGACUGCUUUUCUAGUUUUCAAUAAAAUUUCGUAAAUUGAUUAUCAUUUCCUACUUCUAGUUUAGUUGAACUGUUUCUUUUUUCCGCGCGCUAAGUUUUGUGACCCAUAUUGAGUUGAUUUUUAGUUUAGCCGAGACACACUCCUUGAUCGAUCGUGUGAUUGAGGCGUAUUGAGUUAGUGUGGUUUGAAAUUGGAUUGAUUUAGCUUCGGUUGGUUCGUUCAAAUUGUAGUUUUAGCAUUCUGGAAACACUAUAACCUGCCCUGAGGCAAGUAAUCUCAUGCCGGGAUUGUAUCUCAGCCUACGGCCCUUCUAAUUUAGAAGGUGGCGCUUAAGCCGCAGACUGUUGUAACAGACUAAAACGUUACAUGCUUAAUAAUUGUAAUGAUAGCUGAACUAAAAUUAUGCUCUACACAUUACAGUUUAAAUGAUUUUUCAAUUGAGAAAGUAGUCAAUGUUCGACUUUCCUCAUCGGUAUCAACAAUGAUAAAUUAAAACACUUUUUAAACGUUCAACAAGAAAUUUAUUCGACAAGCAUUGAUUCCUUAACAAAGGAGUUCAACAAAACAUUUGUCUGCAUCUUAUUAAGCUGAUGUAUCGAUAAGCAUAUGCUUCUGAACAAUGUGCUUUUCACUUUUGACUAUGGAUUAUGGGAUAAAUCAUGGCUAAAACUGUUUAGACAACCAAGUUAUUAAAGAACCAAUAUUUUAAACGAAUCACAUAAAACAAAACAGAAUAGAAUUAUGUAGUUUAACAUUGAGUGCCAAAAGAUGUAAUCAACGUAAAAAUGAGGCAUGUAACGAGAUAUCUUGUACCUUGAUUAUUAUAUUUUUUAUCUUCCGCAGCAGUUCGAUUGUAGGAGACACUUGGAUCGAUGCAUUUGACACUUCAGUGCUGUUGUGUUUACUGAAUAUUGUUCCCACAGCCACCUAGAUAACCAAACAGCAUUCAGAAAUCGACACAUUUCAAGUAUCCUUUAAACAUCCAUAUGCACUAUUUAUUGAACAUAACAUCAAGAUUCCAUGACAAAAGAAGAAAUAAAAAAAAUGCUCAACGGAUUUUCGACUGAGCAUGAGAAGAUUACCUGAACAAAUGCUCUGAAUGCACCAUGUCCAAGACCAUACCGCACCACAUAUUGUCAUACAUUUUUAAAGAUCGAUAUUUAAAAAUAAAAAUAUAAACAUAUUCAUAUCGCAAUUAGUACGUCUGGAAACAAUAUCUUCAAUGAGGAUCAAAACUUUUUGGCCGCAUUCGAUACAAGUUUUCUCACCAUGCGAUAAAAAUACUGACAGCGAAAUCAGAAUGGAAAACACGUGUUUUGGGCUGAACAGCUGUUAAAGUAUAAGGCGUUGUUCAGUUGCUUACCGCGUGCUGUGCUAAUUCACCACUGCUGAACACAAGUUCAGGAGUGAUCAUUAUUGAGUCAUGGGAAGAUUAUGUUUUGCUUUGGGUGCUGCAUUUCACCAUCUCACCAUAGGAUGGCGCAGAUAGGGAGGCAUGCGGCUGGCAAUCGACAGGUUUCGAGUUCUAAUCCGGAUUUAGGUAAUUUUAUAUGUAAUUCUUAUUUCAUAAUAGGUGUUCUCAUAAUAAUAGUAAUAAUUACUCGUGAGAGUUCAACAUUUUUGCAUUUUAUUUAUUUUCAGUCAUUUUUGCCAAAGCUUAAUAACAACUUUCCUGUACAUUUGUAAAACGCUUUGAACAACAAAAAAUUAAGUUGGUGCACAAACAUGAUGCUUUAUAACUUCUCCAAAUUUGUGUGAACAAAACCCGAACAUAGGUUGUACGUGAAAAUAAUUCAAAUGUUAUUCAACAUUAUGUUGAAUUAAUUCGUCAUAAUGGUGUUUGUUAAAUGAGUGAUUGUUAGUUGGGUUAACACUGCAGGAUUUACGAUCAAUUGUGUUACCCGCUCAGUCGGUGUCGCAAUAACCGGUUAACUGGAUCUCGAGCUUCAACGUGCAGUCUUUAGUGUAGAUUAGGUACCGUGCAAUUGACUACCGACAAUCAGCUAAUCUUAUGACCUAGUACACCUUCGCUCGCUACUCUGCCAUCCAGACAACAGCUCGUUGCAACGUAGAGCUGCAACCCAAUCAGGCUACACAAACUACCUAGGAAUCAUCUACCUACGUAGAUAUGAAGGUAGAUCCACCCUCUAAUCUGCCACGUGUCCUAUUUGCACUGUCCGAAUUCCAGGUCUUGAAAAUACUGGUUAUGGUGUAGUGCCAAACUAUGGUCGCCUGUUCGAGCCUGUUGAUAUUCUUUAUUAAUCAACAUACUUGCUCUUCUCUUAAUUUUUCAAUGAAGCCCGAUAUUAUUCGCACCUAAAUCGUUUCACAGCGUACCGUAAAUAUAUACGGUUUUUACAUCUAAUUGUUUCACCGACAUAUUCUUGUUUCAAGUUACAAUCAAAAGCGUCCGGUGCGUGGACUGCAUAGCGGCCGAAGCAAUGGUCUUCUCGUAGUCAGACUCGGAACGCUGGGUGAACCAUGUCCACGAGUCUAGCCUUGAACCGUUCCAUGUUCCCCUUGCCGUUUUGUUUGAUGAGGAAGACCCAUUUAUCCCCAGCAAUGUUAACAGGUUGCAUUCACAAGCUUCCACGUGUUAUUCGAGAUCAAGAAACUGUAUUCUUCUUCCAUCGCACGAAUUCACUCCUCUUUUCUAACACAACUGAGCGGUACGUUACUGGUUCAUCUUGGUCUAUGGCAAUCAGUUCAUCUCCUUUUUCUCUUUAUCAAAUCAGAAAGCUGCCUACGUCGAUCUUGUCGGGACCUGAUUCUGGAGAUGGGGAACUAUCAGUGCGGUUUUUAUUCACAGUACUUUUCUUUCAAUCCUGCUCCCUGCAACUUAAACAUUGCCAUCUCUUUUAACGGAUUCACGAUUUUUCCUCUCCUGCAGCCCAUUUUGUUAGGUAAACAACCUUCCUCGGAAACGGUGUGCGAGCAAUUUUUUUUUGUCCACUCCAUAGUUGACGAGCUUCAUCCCUUCCGCAUAACCGUUCACGUGAAUUGUUUUGACAAUUGCGUUGGAAAUUGGAAGAAUGAGGAGGUUAACCGUAAACCCUCGCUUAAUCUGUAGUGCAUAACCUGUGCAGACUGCUGUAAAGAAUCACUAUCACCGAAACAACAACGGAUCGAUUCCGGACCUCGCAGCGAUUGUCGUCGAAAACUACAUAUUUGUGAGGGUAAUCAUCGAGAUCAAUCCCCUGAUGAAACGGGUCAAACAGAACCUCACUUAGCACGAUGUCGACAGUUCAGGAAGACGCCGAUAAUGAAGUCAAGUUUUAUUUUAACGAUUCUGGCAACUUCCGCCUUCUCUCCAUCAGCCAAAAGGACACUCACUCCUGUGGAUUGCUCAAACGUAAAAAAAACAGUCUAUCGUCUGUUAUAUACCGUGACGCUGACGCAACAGUAUUCACGAGAAAACCGCCUGCUGUCCAUGUUUCGACCACCUAGGCUAACGGGCCUGCCUCUACGUGUUGCUUUGACUUCGCUGUGUUCCUUCAGCUGGUCGCUUCUUUCCUUCUUGUUGGAUCUGGACGGGUUGCCUCACUAUAAGCUUCAGCUUCAGUUUCGCUUGAGAUGCCUGGGCUCUUUAUAGUGGUAGCAAACACGAAUUUCUUUCGGUCCAACACCAGAAUCACUUCCGGACGUAGUUUCACUUCCAUCUCGUACAAAAUUAAUCUGCAGUGCAUUUUCUCCUGAUACUGCACUAGUAACUGCUCUCUCCCGACGUGACGUUUCUCUGCCUCGGUAAGCAACUUUGAUUCAUUAAGGUUUAAUGAUAGUUCGUUUCUAAGUCCUUGCUCCAAAGCUGUGGCAAUCCAAAAGAAUCAAGCAACAAGCUCAACAACAUCGCCACCAGCUAUUCAUCCGGAAUCGGUACUACAGUAUCGGCAAUGUGCUGCAACAAAUCGGUGAAUGUUGAAGGUGCUGCUCCAUGUCACCGACCUCCAGCAGCUCCAACCGGACCUCUAAACCAUUAUCAUGGUAGUCCUUGAGCACCGUCCAAACAGCUUUCGCAGAGACACAAUUCUGAAUCAUAGUCGUCUGAUUGUCAUCGAGGCUUAGACCGAUGGUGACACGACUCUUCGUGUCAGCCUUCGGCUACUCUGGCAUCACGAGAUUCGGGGCAGGACCGGAAAUCAGAUUCUACAGCUCAUCGCGAAUGAGCGUCAUAGGCAGCUGAGGACCUGCCCCAGAGAUGUAAAACCCCUUAAAUCCAAGUGAGUUUCCGGCUAAAGGGGGAUGGAAACGAUAGAUCGGUUCGUUACAAAACUCGACUUGUGGCAAAAAGAAUCCUUAAAUUCUAAAGCAAGGACAAGACUACAAAGAGACCUAAGCACCGGGAGCUCGGUUGGCUACUAUAACGAUCGUUUUGGCAGUUGGCUUGGCGUUCAUCAACAAUUCUGUUUCCAUUAAAUAGAUAUCCGUACAGCAGCGUUCUCCGAGGCCAUUUGAAGGAAACGUUCUUCAUGAAGGUUCCGGAUUAUAUCUUACUGCAAAAUAUUUAACUUAUAGACACAAAAUUUAUCACAGCAUGAUUUAUCCUCAGCAAAUUCAUCAGGAUUUAUUGUUCCCGUAAAACCUUUUCCCCCGUGAAAUCAAUGUUCGUGGCUUUCAGUUUUGCCUUAUCUGCCAAUGAGGCCAUCAGUUUCCAGCCCCGCGGACUACAAACUCACAAUUAAUUAUCGAACAAUCAACUGCAGUCCCACAUCAGGGCCCCUUUUUGCUAACUCCCUCAAUCAAUGCUACUAACUCCCGCCGGUGCAGCAUCCGGAUCAUGUCCGACCAAAAAGCGCAACUUCCUCCUCCAUUUACUUCCUCUAAUUAACCGAGAGUGUUUCUCGGUAGGUCGACGCAGCAGAAAUGCAUCCUUGGGCGGGGUAUUUUUUCUAUCUUCCAAUCCUCUGGUUUACAUCCUCCGGCUGUGAAAAGAUAACUUUGCCCACCACUCGGGGAUGAUAUACCUAGGAGGAAACGAUCAUGGUUCACCGAUGCAAUCCUAAUGGAAAAUUGUGCUACUGACACUUGGGCAGCCAGCCACACCACCACACGAAAGCCGGGUCAGAUUGAGCGUUGCCCGGGGAUAAUUAGGGAUAAUCUAGUGGUUUCCUCCGAGCCGCCGCAACGAGCAGCGGCUAACAGACUAAGUACCGGGGGCUGGGGAAGCUUAGCAGUGGUGAUGAUGUUGUUCCAGUUGGUGUGAGCCACGGCCCGGAUUGGCAAUGUUUCCUGCAAAAGAAGGAGAAAAGGAAAACACGAAAUUGAGAUGUAUUACCUUUACUGUAAAGAUAUGAAGCAAGGCGUGCGAGCUUUUAAUCUUGUUUUCCGAGGGGACCUUCUGGUUGUUCGUGCGGUGCAAUUAGUAAAACACCUCUAUCUGCGAGACUGGUGGGGAGCAAACAUUUCCGGAUGCAAGCGAGCGGAUUUCCAGGUAAGUGCUCGAAUGAAAUUGAAAUUCGGAUGAAAAUGUUUGUUGCAGCUUACCCUACAUUCAAGCCAUGCCAAAACAUGCUAGAGGGGCUGCAAGUUCAUUAGAAAACGAAAACGCAAUUCAUGUUGGCCUCUGGCUUGUUGUGAUAAAAUGUGGUAUCCACAGUUUGCUAUCCAUUAUAUGGAAAUGACGAGUUUUUGAAUAAUUCAUUACUUGUGUGGGCAUUGAAAAGC
This is a long non-coding RNA of Aedes albopictus (Asian tiger mosquito), 9302 nucleotides long. RefSeq lists it as uncharacterized. The record is from RefSeq and is a predicted model, not a curated record. The transcript has 3 exons. NCBI's taxonomy places the organism in Eukaryota, Metazoa, Arthropoda, Insecta, Diptera, Culicidae.